Long non-coding RNA from Eriocheir sinensis (Chinese mitten crab), 779 nucleotides. RefSeq lists it as uncharacterized. The record is from RefSeq and is a predicted model, not a curated record. The transcript is spliced from 3 exons. Lineage: Eukaryota; Metazoa; Arthropoda; Malacostraca; Decapoda; Varunidae.
UCCAGGGGUAGUUUUAUGACCCUGGUGGUAGUUUGACCCUUCCUCUGUACCAUGAACCUGAAGAAACACCUAUUUGACAAGGCUUUCCUAGGAGUUGUGAGCAUUUCCAGGGGUAGUUUUAUGACCCUGGUGGUAGUUUGACCCUUCCUCUGUACCAUGAACCUGAAGAAACACCUAUUUGACAAGGCUUUCCUAGGAGUUGUGAGCAUUUCCAGGGGUAGUUUUAUGACCCUGGUGGUAGUUUGACCCUUCCUCUGUACCAUGAACCUGAAGAAACACCUAUUUGACAAGGCUUUCCUAGGAGUUAUGGGCAUUUCCAGGGGUAGUUUUAUGACCCUGGUGGUAGUUUGACCCUUCCUCUGUACCAUGAACCUGAAGAAACACCUAUUUGACAAGGCUUUCCUAGGAGUUGUGGGCAUUUCCAGGGGUAGUUUUAUGACCCUGGUGGUAGUUUGACCCUUCUUCUGUACCAUGAACCUGAAGAAACACCUAUUUGACAAGGCUUUCGUAGGAGUUGUGGGCAUUUCCAGGGGUAGUUUUAUGACCCUGGUGGUAGUUUGACCCUUCCUCUGUACCAUGAACCUGAAGAAACACCUAUUUGACAAGGCUUUCCUAGGAGAUGUGAGCAUUUCCAGGGGUAGUUUUAUGACCCUGGUGGUAGUGUGACCCUUCCUCUGUACCAUGAACCUGAAGAAACACCUAUUUGACAAGGCUUUCCUAGGAGAUGUAAGCAUUUCCAGGGGUAGUUUUAUGACCCUGGUGGUAGUUUGACCCUUCCU